UCCCCUUCUCCCUCCGCUCCCGCCAGUUCUCCCUCCCCGACUACGUCCGCUACCUCAUCUCCGAGUACAAGAAGAUCCUCACGGUAUGGUAACACACACCUCUGCACCUUCCGGCAACACCACUAGCCACAGGUAAGCAGAGACGAGCACCGGCUGACGCGUACGUUGGAUGCAUGCAUGCAGAGGCUGUACGACAUGGGCGCGCGGCGCGUGCUGGUGACGGGGACGGGCCCGCUGGGCUGCGCGCCGGCGGAGCUCGCGCUCCGGAGCCGCGACGGGGAGUGCGACAGGGACCUGAUGCGCGCGGCGGAGCUGUUCAACCCGCAGCUGUCCCAGGCCCUGGAGGAGCUCAACGCGCGCUACGGCGACGGGACCUUCAUCGCCGCCAACUCCUUCCGCGUCCACUUCGACUUCAUCAGCGACCCGGCGGCGUACGGCUUCCGGACGGCCAAGGAGGCGUGCUGCGGGCAGGGGCCGCACAACGGCAUCGGCCUCUGCACGGCGGUGUCCCACCUGUGCGCGAACAGGGACCAGUACGUGUUCUGGGACUCGUACCACCCCACGGAGCGCGCCAACCGGAUCAUCGUCAGCCAGUUCAUGACCGGCUCGCUCGACUACGUCAGCCCGCUCAACCUCAGCACCGCCCUCCACAUCGACGCCAGCCUCAUGGACUGAUGAUAUGCUACUAGAAGCUACGUACGUGUCGAUCCGUAACUUUGUUGAUUGUUGGUUGCUGCAUGGCGUGGUUCAUGCCACUCUCGGUUUUGAAUGUGGUGUUAGUUGUGUGUUGCUAAUUGGAGAUCAAUAAAUCGUGUAACUAGUAAGCGUGUUACUGCAAUGAACGUGUCAUACUCGAAAACAUAAUGACCAGUGAGAUGUACUCCUUCCAUCCAGAAAUACUUGUCAUCAAAAUAGAUAAAAAAAGUAUAUUUAGAACUAAAAUACAUUUAGAUACAACUCUUUUUAUUCAUCUUGAUGACAAAUAUUUUCAGACGAAUGGAGUAUCUGCCAAUGAAAACAGGGAGUAAUAAUGGUAACCAGUAAGGAUCAGGGAGAUAUGGUGAAAUGCAUGUCUUAUAACAAUACAACAUGGUAAUAGCAAAUUGUAAACUAAAUACACUAAGAAAGAAGGUACAAUUCAAGUUGUCGCAUGCAUCAAUUCAGCAUCCGAAAAAAUGAAUCAUGUACAUCAGAUUUCUCCUGGAUCAAAACAGGAAUCACACAUACUUGGAACGAUUUCGGAUGUUCCUUUGUAUAACCCAUUACACUAGGUAGAUGAUUUAAAACUCAAUGAUUGGAAUGAGCAUUUUCUAUGUCCAUGAUUGUUCUAGUCAUCCUAGUAGCAUCUCACAAACUCUUCUCGUAUUCCUCCGCUUCUUUCAGUUAAAUCUGGUGCUCUAUAUUUUAACUUCUGGAUAUCUUUUUUAUAUUAAUAAAUUAUGUACAUACAAUCAACCAUACAAAGUGAUCACCCAAUACCAGUUUUAUGAAACAUGGAAACUAAUUAAAUGUUCUGUGUAACCCAGGAACUAAUCUUAUCCGCUUUUGAAUGCUUCGCUUUGAUCGGUGCUGCCCAAAGUCCUUCUUGGAGGUAAAACUUCCAUCCCUGGAUAUGUGGAGCUGCUGCUCGAAAGAUCUUAUCGUUUCUGAUCGACCAAAUACCCCAACAGCCCAUAGUGACAAUAUCUAGUGCAAUAUCUGGAGGGAGUUGUACCAUGGCUAGUUGGAAAUCAUCAACGAUGGCGAUGCAUCUAAGCUUGGAAGGAAUGAUGGAUUCCCAGCAUUGAAGUGCAAAAGGGCAAUUCCAGAAGAGGUGGAGCAGGUGUAACGCCCUCGAUGCGGCUAUAUCUCCCACGUGUCGAAGAACGACUUAGAGGUAUAACCGCAUUGAAAGCAAUGUCGCAAGUGAGGUAAUCUUCACACAACCCAUGUAAUACAUAAGGGAAAGAAAUACAUAGUUGGCUUACAAUCGCCACUUCACACAAUACAUGAAAAAAACAUUACAUCAUCCAGAUACAAACAAGGUCCGACUACGGAACCGAAAUAAAAGAAGACUACCCAAAUGCUACACAGAUCCCCGAUCGUCCCAACUGGGCUCCACUACUGAUCAACUGGAAAUGGAACAACAUAACAAACAUGAUCUUCAUCGAGCUCCUCCUUGAGCUCGGUUGCGUCACCUGCACGGUAUCAUCGGCACCUGCAAACUGAUUUUGGAAGUAACUAUGAGUCACGGGGACUCAGCAAUCUCACACCCUCGCGAUCAAGACUAUUUAAGCUUAUAGGAAGGGUAAAAGGUAUGAGGUGGAGCUACAUCAAGCGACCAGCAUAUAUGGUGGCUAACAUACGCAAAAGAGAGCGAGAAGAGAAGGCAAAGCACGGUCGAGAAACUAUGAUCAAGAAGUGAUCCUAGAACAACCUACGUCAAGCAUAACUCCAACACCGUGUUCACUUUUCGGACACCGCCGAAAAGAGACCAUCACGGUAACACACGUGGUUGAUGUAUUUUAAUUAAGAUCAACUUCAGGUUUUUUACAACUGGACAUUAACAAAUUCCCAUCUGCCCAUAACCGCGGGCACGACUUUCAAAAGUUCAAAUCCCUGCAGAGGUGUCCCAACUUAGCCCAUCACAAGCUCUCACGGUCAACGGAGGAUAUUCCUUCUCCCAAGACAAUCCGAUCAGACUCGGAAUCCCGGUUACAAGACAUCCCCGACAAUGGUAAAACAAGUCCAGCAACACCACCCGAAUGUGCCAACAAAUCCCGAUAGGAGCUGCACAUAUCUCGUUCUCAGGACACAACGGAUAAGCAAUCCGUACAACUAAAACCAGCCCUCGAGUUUCCCCGAGGUGGCGCUGCAAGGGGCUCUAGUUUGGACCAACACUCAGAGGAGCACUGGCCCGGGGGGUUUAAGAAAGAUGACCCUUAAGUCCGUGGAACCCAAGGGAAAAAGAGGCUAGGUGGCGAAUGGUAAAACCAAUGUUGGGCAUUGCUAGAGGAGUUUUAUUCAAGGCGAACUGUUAAGGGUUCCCAUUAUAACCCAACCGUGUAAGGAACGCAAAAUCCGGGAACAUAACACCGAUAUGACGGAAACUAGGGUGACAAGAGUGGAACAAAACACCAGGCAUAAGGCCGAGCCUUCCACCCUUUACCAAGUAUAUAGAUGCAUUAAUUAAAUAAGGGAUAUUGUGAUAUCCCGAAAAAUAUCCAUGUUCCAAACAUGGAACAAGCUCCAAUCUUCACCUGCAACUAACAACGCUAUAAGAGGGGCUGAGCAAAGCGGUAACAUAGCCAAACAACGGUUUGCUAGGACAAGGUGGGUUAGAGGUUUGACAUGGCAAUAUGGGAGGCAUGAUAAAGCAAGUGGUAGGUAUCGCAGUAAAGGCAUAGCAAAAGAGCGAGCAUCUAGCAAGCAAAGAUAGAAGUGAUUUCGAGGGUAUGGUCAUCUUGCCUGAGAUCCCGCAAAGAAGAAGAACGAGUCCAUGAAAAAGACAAACGGAUGUAGCCAACGGGUCCUCACAAACGCAACGUUAUCGGAACUAACCCGAAGAAGCAACACCGGAAAGAAAGCAAACAACAUAGUAAACAACCACCACAUAAACAUGGCAUGAUGCACAACCAAGUAUGAUGCAUGUCCGGUUUAAAUAUGCAUGACAUGGCAAUAUGCAACAAACAACACUACAAAUUAAGUGGAGCUCAAUAUGCAACGAGUUGCAUAUUGACGGAACACCACAUGACUUAUUUAGUUCACUCUCGGUUAGGUACUCAACAAUAUUAACUGUUGGUUAACAUGGCAAGAGGUGAAGCAUAACAAAACUAUAUCAUUUAAACAGUUUAAAUGGGGCCGGAUAUAACAAAUAACGAAUCCGGUAAAUCCCCAUAUGCAUUAGUAAUUUAUUGCACCAACAAUUUAAACAUUUUAAUUGUUGUUAUCAUGAUGCGGAUGACAUGAACAAGUUUAUGCAAUUUUUAUUAAAAGUUGACAAGAGCAUUAUGAAGCAUUUUGUCAUCGUGGCGGAAACGAAAAGGCGUGCCACGACAACGAUAAUGGUAACGGUGCCACGGCAACGUUUCGGGUUCCGGUACUUUAUUGAGAUACCGAUGCAAAGGGGAAAUGUGCGGAUGCGUGCAAAAGAUGGUGGGGCGCUCCCGGAUACCGGGUUCCCACGGGUUAGUGGCAUGGAAACGAGUGACAAUACGGACAUGGUGCAGACAAAGGGGGCAUCUCAUCCAACAUGCAUUCAUUCGUUCACGGGCGUCGUCUCGGGGUUAUACCUUCGAGGUUGGACUUUUCGGAACGGAUCAAGUUCAUAUCGGGAAGUAGGCGUUCUCGCGACGGCGGUAGUGGAAGUAGUCGUACAUGACGGCGAUAGAGGUACUCGCGACGGCAGUAGUACACGUUCGUUUCCGGAGAGGUACUUGACGAAUCCAACGUUUUCGGGGCAACGGUAGUGGUACUUGGCAAAACGCAUGUCAACGUUGUUGUUCUCGUAUCGUCAUGGAGGUAGUCGUUCACUCGAUGGUUUUAUCGGAACAUCAUCAACGGUAGAGAUCCACCUUGGCAUUCCGAAGGGGUACUUGUCGUCGUGGUACUUGGCGGAAAACACGUCGAGGGUACUUGUUCUCGCAUCAUCGUGGAAGUAGUCGUUCGGGCUCCCGUGUGAACUUGCCGGUCUUGGUCUCCGCAGCGUAGUUGUGCAAAAGUGUCGUCGGGCUUGGACGAAUCCGGAGGCGUGCACGAGCGGUGGUGAUCUUGGAAGUAUGUGACCGAAGCAUGGAGGUGGACACGGUCAACGGAGGGACGUACAUGCGGUCGGAUCUGGCAGGCAGCAGCACUGCUCGUCCUUCUCGGUUGAGGCUGAGGCGAAGUAGGGCAUGGCAAGCAGACAGCAAGGCAAGGCAGCUCGGGGCGGCUGCGUGCCUCCAGGAGCGAUGUAGGGCUGUAGACGCGCACAGAGAGAAGCUACGGACGAGAAGGAAUGCCACGACGGUGCUGGUCUCCGGCAAGGCGGCUGGAGUCGAGGAGCUUGGGGCGGCCACGGCGAGCGAGGAAGCAACAUGGGGGAAGCAGGAGGCGAGGCAGAGCAGAGGCUCGCCGGUGGGAUAGAGGAGAAACGGGCGCGGGGCGACGCUCCUCUCCGCCUCUCCUCCUGACGGCGCAAGGAGGGAGGAGACGAACGAGGGGAGAGGGAGGUGGAUCGAGAGAAGGGGUUCGAGGGGAGAUCGAGGAGAUGGUGAGCAGGCGCUGGUGAAAGGAGGAAGGGAGCGAGGGGGGUUCGGGAAGACUGGUGGCGGCGCUCGAGGGAGAUGGGGGUCGGGCAGAGAGGAAGGAGAUCGAGCAAAGGCUCGCUAGGGUUAGGAGGGGUGUGGGCUACGGCUAGGCCUAGGUGGGCCAGCGCAGUGGGGAGGUAAAAGGCCAGGGCCUUGGGCCUUUUGGUGGAGAUUCUAAGAGGCCAGUCAGUGCAGGCUGCCUCUCACUCUCUCUCUAUUAAACUAUUUCCUUUAACAGAAAAAGCAUAGAGAGAAGAGAAAAGAAGAGGGGGGUUAGGGAAAGAAUUACGCACGAGGGAUAAUUUUUACGGACUCGUAUAGAUGUGCACGGUCCACGAAAAAUAGGAGAGGCAUGAUUGCAAGAAUUUAAUUCAAAGCCAUUUGAAUUUAAUUCAAAUGGUUUGAACAAGGACUAGGAAUUAGAGGUGUCCAAAAAUGUUUGGAUUUUUGGUGGAGCUCCGGAAAAUGAUGAAAGAAAUAUAAGGCAAGGUUAGAGAGUCAACACUUGAAGAAGAAAAAGGCCAAGGGAUUUAAUAUGCAAGUGUGUUAAGGUGAAUUCCAAAUAAAUGGAAUAUUUAUAAUAGCUCCAUAAAUAUUAGGAGGAUAAUGUUAUAAAGAGAAGGCACUCUUCCCUUGAUUUAAAUGGAUCGAAGAUCCACACAAAUUAUUUAGUGGGUUUUAAAACGGGUUGCGUGAUGACAUGAUGCAAGGCACAUGAUGCAAAGGGGAAAGCAACAAGCAAAACAAAACACAUGACGAAACCCGGAAUCCAUGGAUGGCAUCUGAAUCUCCGGUCUUGGGGCGUUACAACACUCCCCCACUACGAGAGGAUCUCGUCCCGAGAUCUAGGAUGGCAUUGGAGGGAAAAUGGAAGAGGAAGACGAGAGGUAAAACUAAGCUGCUUCUUUAACAAAUGAGUGAAACCAAAGAACCUUGAAAAGUUGAACAAAUUGAAAAAAAGAAUACCACGGAGAUGAACGAAGUUGAAAACACUCCGUUAGAAAAGAGCAACAAAGAAGAAUAAAUUCGGGCAGCACUCCAGUUUACAAGUGAUAAGCAACUUGAUAAGAUGAAAAGAACUUGAGCAGAGGACACAACACUUCAGUUAAAUGAAUAAGCAUGAAAAGAACAUGAUCUUUGACCGACCGAGAUGAUGGUUGAAUAUAGCAACAAUACCAUGCCUCCGGAACGAAUGUUAGAAUGGAAUCAAAAGAACGGAGGGGAAAACGACAUCUUCUAUCUCAAAUGAGCUUGACAAGGCAUCUUUAGGAGAAGGGUCGAACGGAGUUGUUGGAAAACCAACAACGAAUGGAUAAGCUUGUUGUGGGCUUAUGGAAAAAACAUCUCAGGAACUUGAGGUGAAAACCUGCCAUAAAUGGAAACAAGAUUGGAUUGAUAUCAACAAGGAGACGAGAAACUAUUUCACCGGGAGGAUAAAAGAAGAACUUGGGUCAUUUAUAAGCACCAUAAUUAGCAAAAAUUCUUAGGGAAGGCUUUAGGUUAAACAUGACACAAGAUAACUCCAACGAAGAGAUUGAUGGAUUUAAAAUACCUCAUUCUUAACAACAUGUGAAUCAUGAAACAUGAACUCAAAUUAUCAAGAAUGACAUAAUACCACCUCCAAUGAUACGGUAGAAAGAAUUGCACUCCGGAUUGCAAGAUGAAGAAUGCUUGAACUCCUCAGAAAAGAAUCUUGAUGAACACUUCGAGAAGGAAUUAAAUCCUUUAUGAACCAUCAUGUAGCACCUUCAUGAAGAACUCCGUUAAACAAAAGAAUGAUCAAACGGAAGGAAAGAGAAGUUGAAAACACAAGGUGAAUCCUUGUACCGAUUUAAAUGAAUCUCCGUGGUGAAAUAAUUGAAAAAGGUUGGAACUCCGGGAAAAAGAGAAGAUGAAACAAUUGAAAUCAGGAAUUUGAAGAGCCUCCGGAAUAGGGAAUUGAGUUCACUCGAUGAAACACGAAUAAGAAUUACAUUAUGCUUAUUCUUCACCAAUUUAAAUUGAUGAAGCAACAUAUUUGGCAUAUUACUUAUUCUCGUAGAAAGGAUUAAGAUAGAUAUAGCGUCAAACUUAGGAAGGUCUUCAACAAUCCACCGGUAGAAUUGAAAUAACGAAUGAAUUGAUAAGAUAAAGAAGGAAGAGAAAUGUUGGCCGAAACACCGUAAGAAUUGAAAACGAACGAAGUAAAGGGGUGAAUCACCAAUAAGAAUUGUGAAAUGAAGGAAGAUACUUGAGACAAUCUAGAUACAUGAGAACAAAGGGAUCACGAACUGAUUAGAGAUCACUUGAACGAUGCACCGGUAAGAUUGGAGAAUGAUAACUGACAGCUGAGAAUGAAUAAACCUGAAUUGAUGGACUCCGGAUAACAAACUGAGAAGACUCUUGAAUUGCUCCGGAUGGGUGAAAAGAAUUCCCACAAUCGAAAAUAAUUAUGAGAGGAUUGGAACAAGCUAGAAUCAUGAAUCUUGAAGAGAAUGGAGCAAGAUUGAGAGAAAAAUCUUCUUCGGUCUUCCAAUCUGAGAAUGACGACGAGAAACACCACCAUGAAUUAUUUAGACGCUCCGGAAGAAUCAAAAGCGAAGAGAUUGAGCCAACGAUGAAAAGAAUUUGACAGAUCUUGGAGAAAUACAUUUGACUGAUGAUAACUCAUUCUUACGUCAAACUUGGAAAAGAAUUUGAGAAAUAACUCCGGAAGAAAAUUAGAAGAGUUAGGUAAGAUCCUGGGAAAAGACCUGUGGGUUAGGGCCCACUCAAAAGAUACACCAUAGAACGAUUGCUUGAAAAGAGAGAUUGCACCGGUUGAAUUAAAAGGCUUGAAUGAGAUAACAUCCUCAAAAGAGUUUGAACGAAAGCAGAGUGGAAACACGAAUCUUUGAGAUAUCUUCAGCACUCCCGAACAAAUGAAUAGCGAGAAGUGAAUUAUUAUGAGGUGCACCGGCAUAAGAAAAGCAUUGAAACAAGGAAAAAAUAUGAUCGACAAAGCUUGAAUUGAAUCCACCGGAGAAGAAAAGGAAUGAAGAAUGAUGAACUUGUAGAGCAUCUUCAUGAGAAUCACCAGAUAAGAACAUUUACGGAAAGGAAUGGAGAGACUUCCCAUCAAUAAAAGGAUACAUGAUUAAGAAAUCUAAGUCCUUGAAGAAAAAGGGUGGGAGGGUGGGAAAAUAAAGGAAAACUUGAGAUGGAUGAAACAAACAACGUUGAGAAGACUUGAGUUGAUCUUGCGUUUGUUGAAAAAGAUCGGAUCCACUUGAAGAGAAGCACACCGGUUGAAAAUAAGUUGAAAUGACAAACUCGAUGAUCAAGAAGGAUUAGUAUUCACAUAGAAAUAUGAGAACACCGCUUAGGCAAGGUAUGAAAUCAACAUUUGACUUCGAAGCAACUCGAAUACCACAACUCAAAAACAAAACAAAGGAUUGGCUUGCAGAAUAAGCCGGAACAAACAUAUGAUAGAGAUUUCGUCCGAAGUUUUCGUGGUGGGGCCUACACGGGCUCGAUCGUACAACACGAUCAUGUACAAGGCAGUGCACAUGACAUAUGAAGCAUCCCCGAGUCAGCAUAGCCAAGGACUCUUUAAGACACAACGAGACCACUGUAAAACCAACCGUGGAUAGGCGGACCACUAAACGUCGAACCCCAAUUUCAUAUCAUACAUCUGUCGGAAAGAUAUCCUAAGAGCUACUUGAAUUCCCACUUAUAAACUCCCGAAACUUUCCGGUUAUGCAAUUAGGUGUUGGGGAUACAGGGGAAGCAUAAUAUCUCACCCAAAACUAACAAAUCCUACAUCCAGCUGUAUCCAUCCUUCAACACAUAACCAAGAAACCUUCGGAAAUCGUUUACCUCAACCUUCGAAAAGCAUCCGUUAUACGAAUUAUGGCAAUACUCCCGAACUCCCGCCCAGUACUGGGUGGCGUCGAGGUUAUCUCACCAACAACUGCAUAAAACAGAUUUUCGAUGUCAGCGAAACUCAGGUAUUCCAGAACUACAACGAUAAAAUUGUGACGACAACACCUCGGAGCUAAACUCCCCGGGACACUGCCACAACCCCUAAAUGUCAGGAGGCACCAAGAACAAUGUUCUCGUCACAAAACCAUCAGAACGAUUCCAAGAUACCCGCGUGAUCCUAAAUUUUUUUUAGUGAAAUUUGAGAAGAGAAGAGUUAAAACUCUACAUCAGGAUGCCUCACCAGAGCGACGAAGGGACUGAGGAGUAAAAAGAAGUCCUACUCUCCGAUAUAUAUAAUUCCUAAAUGACUCAAAACAUUUUUUCUAGACUCAACAACGCCAACGAUUCGAUCAAGUAGGGGGCUCCUAAGGUCGAGGAAGGCUCUGAUUACCAACUUGUAACGCCCUCGAUGAGGCUAUAUCUCCCACGUGUCGAAGCACGACUUAGAGGCAUAACCGCAUUGAAAGCAAUGUCGCAAGUGAGGUAAUCUUCACACAACCCAUGUAACACAUAAGGGAAAGAGAUACGUAGUUGGCUUACAAUCGCCACUUCACACAAUACAUGAAUAAAGCAUUACAUCAUCCAGAUACAAACAAGGUCCGACUACGGAACCAAAAUAAAAGAACACUACCCCAAAUGCUACACAGAUCCCUGAUCGUCCCAACUGGGCUCCACUACUGAUCAACUGGAAACAGAACAACAUAACGAACACGAUCUUCAUCGAGCUCCUCCUUGAGCUCGGUUGCGUCACGUGCACGGUAUCAUCGGCACCUGCAAACUGGUUUUGGAAGUAACCGUGAGUCACGGGGACUCAGCAAUCUCACACCCUCGCGAUCAAGACUAUUUAAGCUUAUAGGAAGGGUAAAAGGUAUGAGGUGGAGUUGCAGCAAGCGACUAGUAUAUAUGGUGGCUAACAUACGCAAAAGAGGGCGAGAAGAGAAGGCAAAGCACGGUCGAGAAACUAUGAUCAAGAAGUGAUCCUAGAACAACCUACGUCAAGCAUAACUCCAACACCGUGUUCGCUUCCCGAACACCGCCGAAAAGAGACCAUCACGGUAACACACGCGGUUGAUGUAUUUUAAUUAAGAUCAACUUCAGGUUUUGUACAAUCGGACAUUAACAAAUUCCCAUCUACCCAUAACCGCGGGCACGGCUUUCGAAAGUUCAAAUCCCUGCAGAGGUGUCCCAACUUAGCCCAUCACAAGCUCUCACGGUCAACAAAGGAUAUUCCUUCUCCCAAGACAAUCCGAUCAAACUCGGAAUCCCGGUUACAAGACAUCCUCGACAAUGGUAAAACAAGUCCAGCAAUACCACCCGAAUGUGCCGACAAAUCCCGAUAGUAGCUGCACAUAUCUCGUUCUCAGGGCACAACGGAUAAGCAAUCCGUACAACUAAACCAGCCCUCGAGUUUCCCCGAGGUGGCGCUGCAAGGGGCUCUAGUUUGGACCAACACUCAGAGGAGCACUGGCCCGGGGGGUUUAAUAAAGAUGACUCUUGAGUCCGCGGAACCCAAGGAAAAAAGAGGCUAGGUGGCUAAUGGUAAAACCAAUCUUGGGCAUUGCUGGAGGAGUUUUAUUCAAGGCGAACUGUCAAGGGGUUCCCAUUAUAACCCAACCGUGUAAGGAACGCAAAAUCCGGGAACAUAACACCGAUAUGACAGAAACUAGGGCGGCAAGAGUGGAACAAAACACCAGGCAUAAGGCCGAGCCUUCCACCCUUUACUAACUAUAUAGAUGCAUUAAUUAAAUAAGAGAUAUUGUGAUAUCCCGACAAAUAUCCAUGUUCCAAACAUGGAACAAGCUCCAAUCUUCACCUGCAACUAACAACGCUAUAAGAGGGGCUGAGCAAAGCGGUAACAUAGCCAAACAAUGGUUUGCUAGGAUAAGGUGGGUUAGAGGUUUGACAUGGCAAUAUGGGAGGCAUGAUAAAGCAAGUGGUAGGUAUCACAGCAAAGGCAUAGCAAAAGAGCGAGCAUCUAGCAAGCAAAGAUAGAAGUGAUUUCGAGGGUAUGGUCAUCUUGCCUGAGAUCCCACAAGGAAGAAGAACGAGUCCAUGAAGAAGACAAACGGAUGUAGCCAACGAGUCCUCACAAAUGCAACGUUAUCGGAACUAACCCGAAGAAGCAAUACCGGAAAGAAAGCAAACAACAUAGUAAACAACCACCACAUAAACAUGGCAUGAUGCACAACCAAGUAUGAUGCAUGUUCGGUUUAAAUAUGCAUGACAUGGCAAUAUGCAACAAACAACACUACAAAUUAAGUGGAGCUCAAUAUGCAACGGGUUGCAUAUUGACGGAACACCACAUGACUUAUUUAGUUCACUCUCGGUUAGGUACUCAACAAUAUUAAAUGUUGGUUAACAUGGCAAGAGGUGAAGCAUAACAAAACUAUAUCAUUUAAACAAUUUAAAUGGGGCCGGAUAUAACAAACAAUGAAUCCGGUAAAUCCCCAUAUGCAUUAGUAAUUUAUUGCAACAACAAUUUAAACAUUUUAAUUGUUGUUAUCAUGAUGCGAAUGACAUGAAAGUUUAUGCAAUUUUUAUUAAAAGUUGACAAGAGCAUUAUGAAGCAUUUUGUCAUCGUGGCGAAAAUGAAAAGGGGUGCCACGGCAACGAUAACGGUAACGGUGCCACGGCAAUGUUUCGGGUUCCGGUACUUGAUUGAGAUACCGAUGCAAAGGGGAAAUGUGCGGAUGCAUGCAAAAGAUGGUGGGGCGCUCCCGGAUACCGGGUUCCCACGGUUUAGUGGCAUGGAAACGAGUGACAAUAUGGACAUGGUGCAGACAAAGGGGGCAUCUCAUCCAACAUGCAUUCAUUCAUUCACGGGCGUCGUCUCGGGGUUAUACCUUCGAGGCUGGACUAUUCGGGACGGAUCAAGUUCAGAGUGGGAACUAGGCAUUCUCGCGACGGCGGUUGUGGAAGUAGUCGUAUAUGACGAUGAUAGAGGUACUCGCGACUGUAGUGGUACACGUUCGUUUCCGGAGAGGUACUUGACAAAUCCAACAUUUUCUUGGCGUCGGCAGUGGUACUUGGCAAAACGCAUGUCAACGGUUGUUGUUCUCGUAUUGUCAUGGAGGUAGUUGUUCACUCGAUGGUCUUAUCGGAACAUCGUCAACGGUAGAGGUCCACCUUGGCAUUCCAAAGGGGUACUUGUCGUCGUGGUACUUGGCGAAAAACACGUUGAGGGUACUUGUUCUUGCAUCAUCGUGGAAGUAGUCGUUCGGGCUCCCGUGCGAACUUGCCGGUCUUGGUCUCCGCAGCGUAGUUUUGCAAAAGUGUCGUCGGGCCUGGACGAAUCCAGAGGCGUGCACGAGCGGUGGUGAUCUUGGAGGUAUGUGACCGAAGCAUGGUGGUGGUCAUGGUCAACGGAGGGACGUACGUGCGGGCGGAUCUGGCAGGCAGCAACACUGCUCGUCCUUCUCGGUUGAGGCCGAGGCGAAGCAGGGCAUGGCGAGCAGACAACGAGGCAAGGCAGCUCGGGGCGACUGCGUGCCUCCAGGAGCGAUGUAGGGCUGCAGGCGCGCGUGGAGAGAAGCUGCUGACGAGAAGGAAGGCCACGGCGGUGCUGGUCUCCAGCAGGGUGGCUGGAGUCGAGGAGCUUGGGGUGGCCACGGCGAGCGAGGAAGCAACAUGGGGGAAGCGGGAGGCGAGGCAAAGCAGAGGCUCGCCGGUGGGAUAGAGGAGAAACGGGCGCGGGGCGACGCUCCUCGCCGCCUCUCCUCCUGACGGCGCAAGGAGGGACGAGAUGAACGAGGGGAGAGGGAGGUAGAUCGAGAGAAGGGGUUCGAGGGGAGAUCGAGGAGAUGGUGAGGAGGCGCUGGUGAAAGGAGGAAGGGAGCGAGGGGGGUUUGGGAAGACUGGUGGCGGCGCUCGAGGGAGAUGGGGGUCGGGCAGAGAGGAAGGAGAUCGAGCAAAGGCUCGCUAGGGUUAGGAGGGGUGUGGGCUACGGCUAGGCCUAGGUGGGCCAGCGCAGUGGGGAGGUAAAAGGCCAGGGCCUUGGGCCUUUUGGUGGAGAUUCUAAGAGGCCAGUUAGUGCAGGCCGCCUCUCACUCUCUCUCUAUUAAACUAUUUCCUUUAACAGAAAAAGCAUAGAGAGAAGAGAAAAGAAGAGGGGGGUUAGGGAAAUAAUUACGCACGAGGGAUAAUUUUUACGGACUUGUAUAGAUGUGCACGGUCCACGAAAAAUAGGAGAGGCAUGAUUGUAAGAAUUUAAUUCAAAGUCAUUUGAAUUUAAUUCAAAUGGUUUGAACAAGGACUAGGAAUUAGAGGUGUCCAAAAAUGUUCGGAUUUUUGGUGGAGCUCUGGAAAAUGAUGAAAGAAAUAUAAGGCAAGGUUAAAGAGUCAACACUUGAAGAAGAAAAAGGCCGAGGGAUUUAAUAUGCAAGUGUGUUAAGGUGAAUUCCAAAUAAAUGGAAUAUUUAUAAUAGCUCCAUAAAUAUUAGGAGGAUAAUGUUAUAAAGAGAAGUCACUCUUCCCUCGAUUUAAAUGGAUCGAAGAUCCACACAAAUUAUUUAGUGGGUUUUAAAACGGGUUGCAUGAUGACAUGAUGCAAGGCACAUGAUGCAAAUGGGAAAGCAACAAGCAAAACAAAACACAUGAUGAAACCCGGAAUCCAUGGAUGGCAUCUGAAUCUCCGGUCUUGGGGCGUUACAACAGGGUUUCCUCAGUGUGUCUGAGUAGAGUGCACAAUUAUAAUCAUCAAGAUGCAUACUCUUUCUGUUGAGAAGGUUUCUUGUGUUGAUCCUGUCAUGGAGGAGCAGCCAGUUAAUAUCUUAUGUCUCAACCUACAAGAUGUUUUCCAAAUCUGUUGGAAGAUCGGGUGAACUAGACUGGGUCCUCUCAUGUGGUGACACAUUUUGAUGGACGAGUAGCCUUUAGUAGACCCCAGAAUGCACCAUUCAAGUGAGUUACUGGAAAUUGGUUUGUGUUGCAGCUGCUGAAGAAGUUGGUUAUAUUGAUGGAAGGCUUGUUGUGACGUUGGAGUGUGGAAAAGUUCUGGUAAGUCAUGGCCACGAAUAGCAGACUUCAAGGUUUCAAAAUCAUUUCUUGCAAAAGAGUGAAGCUCAGGGAAUUUGGUUUCAAGUGGUUGAUCCCACUAGUUAUCAGACCACAGAUGUGUAGAGUCUCCUGAGUGUGCCUUGCAGAUUGCAAAUUUUUUAUAGAUUGGCAGUAACUUGAGUAUUGCUUUCCACCAGAAUGAUCCCACCAGUCUCUCACCAGGGAGAGAAUUGGAGUAGUAUGAUUCCCAAAUGAUAUUGAUCCAUGGAAUAUCAACCUUAUUAAAUAAUAUGCAGUUAUUUCAGAAGAAGAGCCUUGUUGUGGGUCUCAAUAUCCAAUAUCCCUAGUCCACCAUUGGAUUUAGGUUGACAUGAUGUGUCCCAUGCUAUGAGUGCUGCACCUCUCUCAGUUGAUCCAAAUUUCCUCCAAAAACUAUUCUUUAGGUAAAUGUUUAGUUGUUUGACCACUGUUUUCGGCAGCUUGAGGGAGCACAUGGAGAAAAUUGGCAAGCUGGAGAACACUAAUUUAAUGAGAGUUAAUUUGUCUCCAGUGGAAAGCAGAGUUGAACAUCCAAGCAAUCUAUUUUCUACUCUCUUUAGUAGAGGCAAGUAGUCUUCCGCUCUAUGUUUAUGCAGGCUGAAAGGUAAUCCCAAAUAAGUUGAGGUAGUUUUCCAAUCUGACAGCCAAAGAUUGAAGACAAAUACUGCAUCUGCUCAUCAGAAGUGUUGAUGGGUAUCAUGAUUGACUUGCUGUAGUUAACUUUCACACCAGUGAAGGCAGCAAAGUGAAGGAGUAGGUUCUUGAUAUGCAUCAGUUGGGAGGCCUCAGCUUUUACAGUGAGGAUGGUAUCAUCAGCAUAUUAGAUGACAGGAAAGUCAGGGCUUGAUUGAUGUACCAAUGGUGCUUGAAUCAGAGAAUUAUGCAUUGCUUCAUUCAUCAUAUAUUGUAGCAGAUCUACUGCAAGCACAAAGAUGAGAGGUGAUAGAGGGUCACCCUGCCUUACCCCACAUUUGCAUAAGAACUGUUUUCCAGGUACCCCAUUGAGCAGCACGGAAGAAAAUCCAGUGCCAUAAAUCAUUUUAAUCCAAUUAAUCCACUUGGAUCCAAAACCUUUGGCUUGUAAGAUCUCAAUAAUAGUAUCAUGGUUGAGCAUAUCAAAGGCCUUCUCCAAAUCCAAUUUCAGGAGAAUCACAUCUUGAUUUGACUGGUAACAUUGAUGAAUGUAUUCAUAAGACCAGGCUAAACAACCUUGAAUGCAUCUGUUGGAUAAACAUCCAUAUUGGUUGGGGUGAGCUUGAGAAUCUUUUUUUGCAAUCUAUUGGCCAGCAGCUUGGUUAAGAUCUUCAGAGUACAGUUUAGUAGGGAGAUUGGUCUGAAGUCAUUUGGUUGUGCAACAUCAUAUUUCUUGGGGAUCGGAGUAAGGAAAGAAUAAUUAAUACUCUAUAGAUUUACUAUGCCCAAAUAAAAAUCUUCAAUAAGUCUGUAGAAAUCAGGAGCCACAAUGUCCCAAUAGGUUUUGAGAAAUGUUGCAUUAAAUCCAUCUGGUCCAGGUGCUUUAUCAACAGGCAUCUUCCUAAUAACCCCAUCAAUUUCUUGCUUAGUAAAUGGUAGCUCUAGGUUAGACAAAUCAUCAUGCUGCACAAGUGGAGACUGAAGCAUAAGUGGGUUUUCAGUUUUGGAAACUUUUCCCAAUCUCUUCUUGAAUGCUCUGAAAAGGAUAACAAUUUUAGCAUGAUGGUCAACAUGAUCAUGAUCAUCUUCAUCUUCCAACAAGCAAUGUGGUUAAAUCUGUGUUUUAUGGUGGCUUUGGCCUAAAAGUACUUGGUAUUUGCUUCCCCUAUCUUGAUGUUUCUGAUGGUAGCUCUUUGUUUCCAAUAAAUCAUCUGUUGUUCAUUAAUAAGACUCAAAUGAUCAAUAAGAAUCCUUCUGCCAUUAGAUUCCUCCACAGACAAGUCCCUAUGUUCCUCAAUGACAUCAUGGAAUAGAAUCAUGAAGUUGAUGUUCUGAAUAGUAUCUUUGAGAUUUGAAAUAGAUUUGGCCCAGAUCUUUAAGCCCGUCCUAAGCCUGUUGAAUUUAGCAGCAAUGCAUUUAGCACUAUCUGCUUCAUGUACUUCUUGCUCCCAGUUAUUUCUAACUACAUCCUUGAAUUGGGGGUGCUUGAGCCAGGAAUUUUCAAAUAUGAAAAUAUGGGAUCUAGGAAUGCAGGUGCCCACUUUGAUAACAAUAGGGAUGUGGUCUGAAGUGGUUUUGGCAAGAGGAAUGGCUUGAGUGGAAGGAAACAUGAGAGUCCAAGCUUCAGAAGUAAAACACCAGUCCAACUUUUCCAGAAGAGGGGCAUCUUGCAUAUUGCUCCAGGUGAACUUUCUGCCUUUCAGAGGAAUUUCAACAAGUGCUUGAUCAUUGAUUGCUUCAUUAAACAAGAACAUGUCAUUUAGACUACCACCAUCUCUGUUCCUGUUGUAAGGAUAUCUUAUGUAAUUAAAGUCACCAGGACAAGCCAAUUUUCAUCAUCCCCCACUUGAUAAUUCUUGAACCAAUCAAGAAAAAAAAUUCUUGCAUCUUGUUGACAAGGUCCAUAGAUGUUGGUGAGCUUCCAAGUAGUCCCAGAGAGUUUACAAGUAAAAUGGAUGGUCAAGGAGAAAUCAUUCUGGUGUAUCAACAACCCAGAGAACAAUUUUUCAUUCCAGGCAAUCAUCAACCCUCCAGAAGCACCAUUGGAUGGAAGAAAUUCAAAUUUUGUGAUGUUAUUAGGACAUAAUUUCCUAAUAUAAGCAGAUUCAAAAUGCUCUCUCUUAGUUUCUUGGAGGCAGAUGAUGGAGUAAGCAGAUUCAGCAAUUUUAUUAGAUAGAGCAUCCCAUUUCUUAGGGUCAUUGAUGCCCCUAAUGUUCCAGUUCAGAAUAUUCCAGCUUCUCUUCAUGAGGAUUGCAGUAAACUGGAGGGAGGAGGGGAGAGACUGGUACUUGGAGAGCCCAUUACAACACAUACAGAUUAGAGCAACCAGAACAAGAAGAAUAACACAUCAUACAUCAACCCAGAGAAAAUGACACACUGAUAUAUGGAAUAACAAGUUUGUCCCACAGAAUUCAUAAGGGAAAGGACCCAGUCAUACACCACAUAACCAAGUAGUCUCAUGAGACCAAAAGAUCAGGUACUAUAACAGAAGAUAGAAGAAAAGGGCUUGCUACUUGACAUUCUUCCCACCAGUGGCCCCUUCCUUAGUCUUGCUGGCACCUUCCUUUGACUUGGGGCCAACCUUGGGCUUCUUUAUCUUGGUGGUAAGUUUAUCUUCUGAAGUAUCUUGAGCAUUGACCUUGCAAUAAGCAGUGUUCUGAUUCUUAAUAAUCUUAGCAGGUAAUGGCGAAUGGAAAGAAUGACAUGCCAUGCAGUUUUUAUCCAUGCAAACUGAUUUUUGUAUUCUUUAUUAAUCUUUUGCAGUCUACAACUUCUGGAUAUCAUCACCAAAAAGCAUAGUCCAUUCACUUUGUCAAGGUGAAGUACGUAUAAGAGUAUACAGUAAAAACAACCAAUAAUUCAUGCCAAAUAACUUUGAUAUCUCUCUCAAACCUCCCAUGGUUAGCACCAGUAACUCUUAUAUUUUACAUGCCUUUACACUUAUAAUGCUACGUCAACAAAAAAAUCUUCAAAAAAUGCUGCUAACAGAACAUGAAAGCCUAAACAUGCAACUCUAGCGGUAGCAGACUGGCAGUCAGGAACAUUGGCAUCAUCGUUUUGAUAGCGAUGAUAGAAUCGACAAGUUUGCUUCUAUCUACAACCUAUUUUAGUAUAUUUGGCACACAAGAUCUAACCCUGAGAACUGAUGUGCGUUGAUUUCUGCAUCUUGAGCUCAUUCUCGGUCAUCAAAUUCUCCACCGACAUCUUGGAUUUGCCUUUGUCCCUCACAUGUGAAUCGUGCUCUUGUCUCAACUUUUCCCAAUUUUAACCUUAAAGAUGGCUGUCAAGUCAGGCUCACAACCCUCCUUCGGAUUGGGCGCUUCCUGGCCAUCCGUUCUGAGUAAAUUCUUCUCCUUGGCUUCCCUCGACCAUCACCAAUCACGGGCCUCGUCUCCCCCAUGCUGCUUCAGCUGGGUCAAAAAUUCCACGCCUGGAAUUGCAAUCACGCCCUUAAUCAUAUUUUGAUAUUGCUAACAACAUAGUUAUAGAGGACUAAUAUGGUUGUUAAGAAUAUCUACAGGUUUCCCGCAAAAAAGAAUAUCUACAAGUUUUGUCCCCAUGGAUGUCUUUUGUGUGGAUCAUGGACCGUCUAAAAAUAAUGAAAACUCAAGACAUAUGCCAAGCUAAAGAAAAGAAGUAUUUUCUAUUCUAUUUUAGGUUUAGGUAUCCUGCAAUAUUAAAACGGUUUCACCGUGGAAGUGCAAAAGGUCUUGCCGAGGUCAGAUCUUACUUAACCCACCAUAGAAAAAUCCAGUGCCAAAAAACCUCUCAAAAUCCAAACUUCUGUCCUGCCAAAAAGUUCACUUUGCACCUGCGGCGGUCGUCCAUGCACUUUAUGCCCAGACUAUCCAGGUAGAAUGGUUUUGGCAACCAAAGCUCAGAAAUAUUGUCCGGACAAUUGCCGGAUUGUCGGGGCAACUGUCCGGGUGUGUCCAUACUGUCUGACCAAUGUCUGGGCGUUUGUCUAGGCUGGAGGGGUGUGACACCUGAGAGCUCAAAAUCCUGGCCGAACUAUACGGGCAAUUCUUGUCAGACUAUCUAGCCCUUGUACUCUUCACUCAUUCUCUCAGCUAUUGGUUUGAAGUUUCAAGCAGCCGGACAGUCCGCUCACUUUUCGUCGAGACUGUCGGGCACUUUCCGCUCAGACCGUCCAAACAUAAGUUAUUAGCCUAAUAACUUCUAGUUCCAUGCAUGCCAUAUAUACCCCCUCUACAACUCCGGUAGUGGGUUGACAACUACAUUAAGAAAAACCCUAGAACACCCAAGUGCUCCCUUUCACUUUCUCCUACACCAAAUCCAAGAUUUCAGAGAUAUUUGUGGGAGUUCUUGAGAGAGAUUUCUCCAAGUGAUAGAUCCACUCUUUCUCCCUGUUUUAACCCAAGCAAUUCGUGAUUUGAGCUAGUUUUGAGCAUUUCCCCUUGAUCUUGUUACUCUUGGAGGUUGAAGACUCCUAGGCGGUAGGAGUUCUUUAAAGAGGAAUCAAUUGUUGUGAUUACCCACCAAAAAA
Molecule: long non-coding RNA, 19383 nt
Filed under: Triticum aestivum (bread wheat)
Lineage: Eukaryota; Viridiplantae; Streptophyta; Magnoliopsida; Poales; Poaceae
Description: long non-coding RNA (TAES_LNC020479)
Rfam family: MIR1120/MIR1122 microRNA precursor family (bases 875-1008)
Source: RNAcentral